RNAcentral lists this long non-coding RNA (416 nucleotides) under Mustela putorius furo (domestic ferret). RNAcentral describes it as "lncRNA (ENSMPUG00000024026.1)". The record is from RNAcentral. Lineage: Eukaryota; Metazoa; Chordata; Mammalia; Carnivora; Mustelidae.
AACAAUGGAACAUUCUACGAAGUUCUGAAAGAAAAUAAAUUCCCAACCUAGAUUUCUAAACAUUAACAAUAGAGCCUUCAAUAAUGAAGAUGGUAAUCAAGAUAUUUUCAGACCAAAACUUAUAAAAAAAUUUUUUUUCUUCCUGUAGGCACGCAUUACUAGAAGUAACACUGAAGAUUUUUUUUUUUCCGGUGAUGGGAAAAUGAAAUCAAAUGGAACCCUGGAGAUGCGGGAAAGAAUAAAGAGCAACUAAAAAAGACAGAGGAAUACACGCUUUUUUCUAAAGACAGAAGAUUAUCUAUUAAAGCUGAGACCAUUGUGUUUCUACCUUGAGGCAUGAAACAACAGAAUAAUGUAAGUGGGAAACUAAAAUUGAAAACGUAAAAAAUAAUCCAGUAAUCUUUGGCAGAAAUAAU